Doryrhamphus excisus (bluestripe pipefish) is the source of this 4730-nucleotide non-coding RNA. The record is from RefSeq and is a predicted model, not a curated record. Lineage: Eukaryota; Metazoa; Chordata; Actinopteri; Syngnathiformes; Syngnathidae.
GUGGAGAAUUUUAAGGUUACUUUAGAUGUUAACUUUCAAACGGUGCUAAUCAAAGACGCUAAAUCAAUGACUGUUAGCUCCUUCGUAAAUGAAUGGAAAGUCCGCCAUGAUGGUGAGCAUUAGAGGUGAGCGAGGCGAGGUGGACAGCGGUGUACACAGUAUUCAUUAGCACUUAGCUGAGUGUAAAAUAAAUGUAUGGUUACACAAUGCAACUUUCAUUUCAGUAAUGCCAUGGUUAAUAAUUUAAUAGACUACAACCUAAAUCAUCAUCAGCACGAAUUCAACUAAUCACCCAAAUUAGCUUUAAGCUACAUUGUGUAGUAGUCCGUAUACACUUUGAGUCUUGUCCACUGUCCUACUUAUUUACAACCAGUAUUCAAUACAACAUUUUAUCACACAUACUUUCUGUGUUUUGAGGAACUUGCAAAAUGACAAGUCUGUUUUUUGGAUGGUGUAUUGGAGCAAUUAACAGGUGAGCAGUGUGUCGAGGACAUUUUUACAACGCAUUCUGAAUUCUGCUCACCGUCAUGGCGGCCAAACCCGCGGAGGGUAUAAUACGUAACUUCCAGUGGAAUACAUAUUCCUAUUCAUUUCUAAUUUCUAGUGUAUUUGUUGGUGAUUUUCAUCCAUAUUCAUUUAUAACUUCUAGUGUCUAUGGUGGAGACUUUAUCGCAUCGAGUCCCGUUGUGUGAAACUGUUCACGGUCCGUGUUGGGUGUCCUGCCGUUAAAAAUAACUUGCUGUAACGAUUACGAUUUGAAAUGUUUUAACGGUGUAGCAGUUGCUGGCAAUGAAUAGUGGCGCUUUAUUGUGCACUGAUAUGUCAACGAACUGGAUUUCGCUUUAAUAUCCAUUUAUUUUUUGGCGUGCACUCUGUACGCUAAAUAGAAUUGUUGUUGUUCACACUCGGGAAAACACUGCCCUCUAGCGUUUGGUAUAUAAUUUACGAGGUCACCCUAAUGUCAAAAGUUUGAUAUAGGGUUUUCUAAAAUAUAAUGUGAAAUAAUUACUUUUCUUGGAACUAACAUUUUUUUAAAGGUGUAAUUUAAUUACUAAUUCACAACUUGAAGGGUCACACGUGCGCAAAGUCUUCAGGCUCCAGUCUACCAGUAACCCUAAUGAAAACAACUGGUAUUGAAAAUGGAUGGUUGAGCUAUGAUGGAUUUGAGCUUUGAGCUGAUGUUCUCCCGGCUAUGUAGGUGUAUAUAGUAUACUCAGAGGCCAUUGUCUGUUGGGGCAAAAAUUCAAAUUGAAAGGGGGGACCCCAAGCAGUUGCCUGCUUUACAUGAUGGCAAACAGCACUUUUGUAUAUACAGGUACAAGCUUCAAGUAGCAGUUACCAUAGGAACACAGAUGCAACCCAAAAGUUUUUUUUCUGCUGGUGAAUGCCACCGUGACUUUACCCGCCACCGUUGAGCCAAUUGGCGCCAUUGUGGAAACCUCUGGCAUGCCCUCCGCUUGUCUUGUGGUGUUCUGGUCAUUGUCAUUAUAAUCACUCAUCAUUAUGUCUCCUCCCGUGGUUGCAGAUGUCAGCACUUGGGCCUGUUAAAUAUGGCUUAAAUGUCAGAAUGCUUGCUCUUUUAUUUUUGUAACUAAUUGUACAUUUGAGUAAAUAUUGAGAAGAAGGUACUGUCACCGUUUGGUUUGAUGUGUGGUUCUGAGCGGACAGCGUCACCAGUGUUGUUUUCCUGAGUGCAGGUGCCGAUGUGGUGGGAGCUUCUGAAGCAAACGUGGAGGAGACACGUGGACAACCAGAUGAACACCAAAGCGCAUGCUGGGUGGACGCCAUGUUAAAAAAUGUCAGAAUUGCGACUGAACUCACCGAGCAAGAAGAGUUGACGCUUCAUCUUUGUGACUGCAAUGAAGUCCACCUACUCCUCGUCAGUCCAGUCAGGAGCGAUGCUGUGCUCCAGGGCGAUGGCGGCCAGCUCCUUGAGGAAUUCCGCAUACAGGACAAUGGCAAACACUCGGCUCUUCUCUUGAGGCGGGAUGGUGGGACAGGGUGGCAGGAGCGCGAGGGGGGGCAUUGCAAAAGAGGUUCUCACGGAGCCGUUGGGAAGAGGGCGCUCCAGAAUGUCGCCUCCCUCGAACUGGAGGCUGUCUGCAACACACAAACGUGUUAACUUGUCGCCACAGGAGGAAGAACAGGCUGAUAAACGCUAACCUUGGAUUUUGCUGUCUUGGUCUUUAGCCAACAAGAACCUCCAUGCCUGCGUCACCAAAGAGGGGUACUCUGGUCGCCCUUGGAUGUAGCGCUCGAUUUGGCCUUGAAGGGACACCAGCACCUAUACAGUGUAAACAAAAUGAAAGCCAAAAUAAGUUGUUGCUCGCAAUAGUCAUUUAUGACUUUAGCCAGAGACGUAAGGAAAAUUGGGGCGAUAAAGGAAUACUACUUUUAUUUUCAAGCUUACUUUCCACUGAACAGGAAGUCGCUGUUUCAAAUGUUGUGUAACUAGUUCACGUUUAGAAACGAGCCUAUUCGGUUUCAAAUUUGAUGCCGACAAAAACAGUCGACAUGUAUGUUGAUGGCGAUUUAAUCACUUUUUAGUCAUAGGAACACGGACUUGGACUUGAUGAGUCGGUCACCAUAGGCAGGUUCCACUGCAUAUUUAUUGGUACGUGUAAUGACUUGUGUGUGUUACCUGGUACAGUGUACGCACGCCAGCCUGCUGGUGUGUUUGCGUGGCAAGCAAAAAAGUUCUCAGCAGUGGUUGUGGGUACGAUGCCAGUUGAGCCAGGAUGCCCGUCACCAGCAAGUUGACUGCGAUGGAGUUCUCCAGGAGGUUCUCCAAUCGGGACAGCAAGACACUGAUGAAUGGACCUGAACCAUAAUGAUUCUCUAAAAGGACUCGGACCUGAAAACCAGCUGCAGCAUCACGUCCUCACAGAAGAGCCCAAUCAGAGUCCUGAAGAAGGCCAGCGACACCGUGCCCAGCUGAAGAGCACCAAUACAGGGUCACCUCCUUGACUAUGACAUUUAACCUUGACUUGGGGGUAGGUGUUACCUGGAAGGGUGUGUUGACUCUGCUGACCAGGGUGUCCAGGAUAUGCACGUUAUCGUGUGUGUGCAGCAGGAUGAAGGAUAGGAAGGUUUGAAGGAGGGAGGGUUCCGAGAUGGUGCGCAGGAACAGGUCCAGGUAGGCUGUGGUGGUCAUGACCUCCUCCACUGUCAGCUACAAACACACACACACACACACACAAACGCACUUCUUUGAGUUGUCUUUUACAUGCAGAAUCUGCUACAAUAAUGCCGAAUCUCCACUUGAAGGCAGCAUUCUUUGGAUCGUGUGGAUCUGUUCUGGUACCUUGUGUAGAGCAGGAGCCAGCACAGGGACCAGGAAACCAUUGUCGAUGUAACUCAGCAGCUGGGAGCGAAUGGAAGGAUGAGCCACCUGGGAGACAGAUACGAUUAUUAGGUUGAGAAUAGAAAUGAUUGAUUGUGUGUGUGUGUGUGCGUGUUACACUAGUGACGGCGCUGCAGAAGCCCAGUGAGUGCAGAAAGUGGACAAGAGCAGGAACCUAGUGAAGCAAACAUAUUUUAUGCAGCUUUAUUAUUGCACUAAUACACACAAUAACAGCUUCAUGAUUACCUGUUGCCAGUCGGCCGGAUCCAGACAGUUCCACUCUUCACUGUAAACUUGCAACCUGGCUGGGAGGGAGGAGUAGAGACCAGAAAGACCCGUGGCCAGAACCUGCAGCCAGCCAACACAUUGAUUUUUAGUACAGUCACCAUCACAUUCAUAAAACACAACACUAUGGUGUUUACAGUAGAAGCACAAAACUGUACUGGGUCCAAAUUCCAGAUUACAUUUGGAUUUGGAUUCUUUACGAGAAACAACAAAAAUACAAAACAAGAGCAUCAUCAGCGGCACGCUCCAAUCACACUGAGUUUUACUAAUCCUGCCUCGACCUCAAGCCAAUCUCUGACUGAUUUCAUAAUCUGUGCUCUACAGUAAGAUUGAGGUCAGAUGGUCACAUGGCCUUUAAUGCUAAAGGUGGCACUGAGUGAAAGUGAACAAAAAGCAAAAGUGGGCCGCCAAUAUGAGGUCAACGAAUAUUUGGUUUUGUCUCAAUUUGCGAACUUCCGUACCUACACAUAAGUACACACUGAGAAGUACGGUAAAAUACAGUGUGCAAUCAACACCCAGAUGUUGCACUCAACAAUGCCCCCUAACCCUGCUUAAUCAUCGCCAUCUUGGCUUUGAAGCGAAAAAGUAGGGACUUAAUUGGCUGCAAAUCACAAUUAAAAAGAAAACAGUGAACUGUAUGUUGCUAUAUAAUUUUUUUUAAGAAUGCACUUAUGCACUCACAAUGCUAGUGUAAAUAGCAAAGCGUGCCGCGGCCUUUGAUUCUUCUUCUGAUGGCUGCAUAGCGCCCUCAGGUGGUGUGGUCCCUCACAGCUACUGCAUGUCAGCCAACCAAUCCAUCCCAGCCUACCUUUUCCAAAUGUUUGACACAGAGUGACCACAGCCAUGAGCUUGUUAGGUUGUUACAUAACGAGUCAUUAUGAGAUCACAAUGCACGCUCAUUCAUGAAAACACUAGCAAAGUUCUCCUGUGACUAGAGCAGGGCUUUGGGGGCCACUGUGACACAUUUGGAGCAGUAAAGAUGCUAAAACAAUUUCAUUAUAGGUUAAUAUAUGUUAAGCUACCUGAACAGAACUGCAUAACUUUAUUCAGAUCAGCUUUGCAUUAGCAGCACAUGCUAACGGCUUCAUCUGAAGCUGCUGUA